GAUUCUGUGUAUGGCAAAGUGUUAUUAACAAAAAUACGAAACUUCGGCGGUUAAGAAUCUAUUUCCUGUGUUGACAACUUUGGUGACAGGUGGCAAGUAGGCCGACGGUGGGUUGUUGUUGAUCACUCAAUAAGCCUACCUCAGGAACGUGUCCUUAUUGUGAAGGUCUGACACCAUGUUUAGCAAUGAGGACAGGAAGGGAUUUUACCAGCAGAUGUCAACAUGGUGAAUUGAUCCCCGAAAAGCUUUUUAGAAUGAUAUAAUAACUGUGUUCAGGAGAGAAAAAAACGGGAUAAAAAGAAUGUUGCUCUACAAAAUAUGUGUUUUCUAGCACUACAAAGAUAAGUGUGUCUGUAUAUUGUACUUGUGAUUCAUAUGGAGAACUAGAGUACCAGGUAUGUGUUAAAAUAAGGUUUGUGUACAUGUAAUUUAUCAGCCACUUUGUGUUUUAUGAGGGUAUAAAACAUCCUCAGGACAGAUAUGCUGUAACGCCAUGUCGAGAUCGUGUUUGUGAUUAAGAACCACUGUGAUAGAGAUUGUUGAAUUAUUUGACCAACCAACAUGUAUGAGCCAGAUCAGCACGCUUCCACAGAGGACAUGGAGGCCUUGGCCGUACAAAAGGCCCAGGAGCUGUUCCAAGUCUGUGACAAGGAACAGAAAGGCUUCAUCAACAAAAAGGACAUGCAGAGGCUACAAAAAGAGCUUGCUCUCGACCCAGAUCAGCUGGAGGCUGUGUUUGACUCGCUGGACGAUGAUGGCAAUGGCUUCCUCACACUGGAGGAGUUCAUAGAGGGAUUUGGGAGCUACUUGGGGUUUAAGUCGACUGAUGUGAAGGAGACGCAACAGGAAGAUGAGAACGUGUACGAGGGCGUAGAUGAGGGGACAGAUGAGAUCCUCUUUAAGGAAAUGCUCAACAAUGUGGGAGCCUCCAGGUUGUACGAUGAUGAGAACGCCAUCCAGGGGUUGUGGACACGGUUACGAAAAGAAGAUGGUGACAUGGCUUCUAACUUUGAAGAUUUCCUCUACAAAGUCUCCAAUGACAUUCGCAAGUCAAAGGUCGACUUUGAGACGUUGGAAUCAGCCCUGAAAAGUAAAUCUUUGGUACAUGAUGAAGAAGUGAGAAAAUUGUACGAGGAGAUGGAACUACAGAUCAAACAGGAGAAAGAACGCAUCCUCGCAGAGGAGCAGUUGAAGGAACAGCAGAUCAAAGAAGCUAUGGAUGCAGAAAUGAAAGAAAAAGAUAAACAGCUCCAGGAUCUAUUACUUAAACACCAGGAGAUGGAGGAAAAACUGUCAAGGCUGAACAUGACUGAAAGUGAAACAAAACAAGAAAAUGAAAAACUGCAAAGGGAGAAGGAGGAUCUCCAGAUUAUGCUGCAAAAGUCUGAGGAAGGACUAGAGGAGUCCAAGUCCUACAUAGACCAGCUCCGCAACGUAUCAAAGGACGAGAAACGUGAGAGAGCACGGGCAGCGCUGAAGGUGACGGAGGGUAUUGCACUGGAGAGAGAGAGUCUUGUCAAACAGCUUGAUUCCCUCAGGGACAUAAACCAACAACUCCGGGAUGACAAGGAUGAAGCGGAGACAAGGCGGGAGGAUCUUAGUGGCUCCUCCGUGGGUGAGGAACUCCACCAGAUUUUUGAAACAGAAGCAAGAACUCAGCCGUCAGCGGCCAAGCGUCGUGACCAGCUAUCUAAGCAGGGCUCCAUCCUCGGUAACUACUUCCCCGCCAGCAGGGGGCAACCAUCAUUCGGGGAGUCGGUAUCCGAGGACACACCAGAUGUAGAGGAGGAUGAUGACAUUGAAGUGGAUUAUGACGAUGACCAGGAGGGUCAGAUUAGAAGUAGUAAUUAUAAUACAUUAUCAAACAUAGUAGAAUCUAGAAAUGUGUCAUAUCAUCAUAACGGUCAUAACAGUGAAUCACGGAAGGUCAGUGGUAGUCAAGGCAACACAAGUGAGGGUGAUUCGGAUGAGAAAAGCCCAAAUGAUAUGUCUUCCGGAAGGAGUCGUAAAGUGCGCAAAACGAAACGAAGGCUGCUCCCUGGAACAGUAGCUGUCCAGUCACGGCAAGACAGCUUGCCCAGGUCAAGCGCUAGCAUAGAUAGCACUUCUGAUGGAGAUGGAGAAAUCUCUGCCAGGGAUCCUGAUGUUGGGGAGCUGGAUGUGGAUACCCAGGGGCAGGAUGACUUAAAUGAUAGCCAGGCGAUGUAUACGUCACGGCAAACGAGUCAAUUAGAGCAAAAUAAGGUGAUUGAAUCAAACGAGCAUUUUGUUGAAAAGUUUGAGAACAUUUUAGAGGUGAAACCAAAAGAAACGUUAGUUAGGAAACCAAUGGAAAAAUCUGAGGAGUUUGGUGUGGAGGAAAAGAAAACAUCAGAUCAAUAUGUAGAAACACCAUUGAGGAAAUUGGAGGAAAACAUGGUGGUUGAUUCAAAGGAGCUGUUUAUUGAAAAAUCUGAGGAUAUAUUGGAGGUAAAACCAAAAGAAACGUUAGUUAGGAAACCCAAGGAAAAAUCUGAGAAGUUUGGUAGGGAGACAAAGGAAUUGUCAGAUCAAUCUGUUGAGACAUCGUCGAGUAAGCUAGAGCAACAACAGGUGAUUGAAUCAAAGGAGCUGUUUGUUGAAAAGUCUGAGGAUAUAUUGGAGGUAAAAGCAAAAGACACUUUGGUUAGGAAACCAAAAGAGAAACCUGAAAAGGAAGUAGCUAUGAUGGAAAAGGAAUCAUCAGAUCCCAAUUUGGAAAAACCUGGAAAAAAUGUUGAAGUUGUGUUGACAACAAAUGCCAUUGUGGAGGUAAAUGAGAAAUUCCAAGUUGAGCGAAGAGAAGGAUCUGAGACACAUGUUCUGGGAAAUUUAAAGGAAAUAGGAAUUAUAGAUUCAAUGCAAGAACCAGGAGCUAGGACAAUUGAUAAUAGUGAGAAAGUAUCAGAAAUCACAGAAAAUGAAAUAUUGGUAAGGGAAUCUAAGGGGAAGGAAAGAGAUAAACUACAGAAAAAUUUGGAUGAACAAAUGACGGAAAGCGAACAUAUCACAGAAAAAUUACAAGGAAAUUCCAGUGAGAAAAUGGAUGUCAAAACAUUACAGCAUUUAGAGGAGCAACUGGAAGAGAGUAAGAUGAAAGAAAAGGUGAUUGUAUCGAAGAGCUCAUCAGAGGAGGACUCUGAGAUUGACACGACUGUGGAGCUGAACUACAAGUACUCCGUCACAGACGAACAGGUGGACAUCAAUGAUCUGGUCAAGGAAAACAGUGUCAAUGAAGUGACUAAUGAGCCAGGGGAAGAAACGGAAACGCACUCAGUAAGCAGUGAUGUAAAAGUUGGGGAGGAUAUAGAGGAAUCGGCAGCUCCACAGACCGUUUAUAGAAAACCCAGUUCUUUGGAGGCCAAGGGUGAAGGGAAGAGGGUAACAAGUCAUACAGAACUGACCGACAGAAGAGAGAGUGUGGAGGAAGAUGCUGGUUCUCCUGGUGAAAUAAUGGCCACAGUGAAUAGUAAGGCAAAGCAAGGCAGUGACAAGGAAGAGCUAGCGAAGUGGAUUGGUACUGAAGGAACAAAUGUAACAGUGGAAAACAAAGAUAAAAAUAACAUUGGUGCAGAGGAAACACAGAAGAUGGCAGGACCCUUAGAUGGGGAAAAACAUGGCACAAUCAAUCAGCUUACAGAUCUGGAUGGAAAUGAUAAACAGGCACCAUAUCCAACACUAGGUAGUGAAGAGGAAAGUAGAGAAAUCAGAGAUGUUCUUGGAGGCAUUCAGAAAGAAGACAACCCGAGUUUGGAAGAGUCCAUCAAUACUCCUGGUCAGAGCUCAAUUACUACAGAUGAAACUGCUCUUGUUACAAUCAAUCAACUGUCAAGGGAAACAACAGACACAUCAAAUCAGCUUUCUAUAGAAACAACAGAUACAGCCAAUCAGCUCUCAGUGAAAACAACAGAUACAGCCAAUCGGCUCUCAGAGAAAACAGCAGAUACAGCCAAUCAGCUCUCAGAGAAAACAGCCAAUCAACUCUUGGAGAACACAGAUACAGCCAAUCAGCUCUUCGUAGAAAAAACAGUUACAGCCAAUCAGAUUACAGAGAAAACAACAGAAACAGUCACACAACUCUCAGAGAAAACGACAGAUACACCCAAUCAGGUCUCAGAAAACCAAACAGAUACAACCAAUCAACUUGCAGAUGUGACGUCAAUUAGAAGUGCUGAAAAGUCAGAAACAGAUGUGACUGUAGACAAUACUAAGACUAGAUUUGUCAGGUUAGGGAGAGUAGGGGAGGAUACGACAGAACAAAAAGACGAAGAAAAUAUCCCUGAAAGAGAUGUCCGAUUUGAUGAGACACAUGACCAAAUAACAAAAAAUGAAGCAGACCUGAUGGAUCAUAGCAAAGAUACGAGUAGAGAAGAUGUGCAAGUUAAACGUGGAACAGUUGGUGCUAAAAAUAAACAAAGAGAAACUGAAAUUGAUGCCACUUUGAGAGAAGAAACAAGCAGAAAGCUGAAAAAUGGAAAAGAACUAUCACUGGUGGAUCUUCAGAGUAAGAUGGAUGUUCAUCCAGACCUCGAGUCUACAGACAGCCUGCCAUUGUCUGAUUUAGACCGUCAGAGUAAGAUGGAUGUCCAUCCAGACCUCGAGUCUACAGACAGCCUGCCAUUGUCUGAUUUAGAUGGUCUCCAACCAUCUGAUAUGGUCUCAAAGGAUCUUGAAACAUCUGCUGCUAUUACUGAUGAUUUUCAAACCUCUACUACUGUCGUUAAGGAUCUGCAGACUUCUGCUGCUUUUGCUAGAGAGUUUCAGACUGAUGAAACUGCUGUAAAUGAGAUUCAGACUUCAGUAAAGGUUGCUAAGGAGAUUCAGACAAAUGUUACCGUUGCUAAAGAGAUUAAGACUGCCGUACCUGCUGAUAUGGAGAGUCUCUCCACCACAGAGGUAGAUGGAAAUCUCCAGUCUGCUCAAGCAACACAUGAUCUUCACACUACUGUUGUAGAUACUACAGAUGAGCAUUCUCUUGUGGAUGUCAGGAAGGCUAUGCCAUCAGGUUCUCUGGAAGUGGCUGACAAUAUUAGCCGGGAAAUCACCACAACUCUGAAUUCUGUUGUGGAUGUCAGGAAGGCUAUGCCAUCAGGUUCUCGGGAAGUGGCUGACAAUAUUAGCCGGGAAGUCAGCACAACUCUGAAUUCUGUUGUGGUGUCUGAAGGUCUUCAGUCUACAGCAGAUCUCCAAUCCCCUUUGGGUGUCACAAUGGAUCUGCAGUCUGCGUUAGACUUAGUGGAGGUUAUGGAUGACAAACAGUUGUCUGUAAAAGUCGCCGGAGACAGACAGUUUUCUGAACCAAAAGGUAAAGGGCCUGUUGAUACUAAAUCAAGUCCAAGCUCCACCGUAGCAGACACUGGUACAAACAAUAAUGCUGUAUACACAAAUCUGAAAGCUGGUCUAGAAUCGAUACAAGUUCUUGAAAGUAUUGAAACAAGUAACACACCCGCCUAUAUGGAUCUGAAGGAUGCUUUAGAUUCUGUUCCUGAAAGUCCUGAAACAGACGCAGAUUUGAAGGAUGUACCUAACAAACCAGCUGCAGAUUUGUAUCUUAAAACUGCUACAGAGCCAGAGGUUGAAACAAAGAAUACACAGUACACAGUCCCAGUAGAAAGUCAGUCCCCUGGAGUUAAAACAAAUCAAAUGAAUGAUGAUACAAGCAUCAAUAGGAAGUUUAACACAGAAAAUAAUUCAUCGGAAAUUAUUGAUAGCAAGAUUUUGUCCUUUUUGGAGGUCAAACUUCCAGAGGAGGUUUUAUCAGAGGUGGAUGAACAAGACAAGGGUGUCCAAGGAAAAGCAGACACCGGUAUAACUGAGGAGGAAAAAGACACGACCAAGUCCACUGACGACAAUGUUUCUAUAGAUAUAUCUAUCAAAGAUCAGCAAGGAAAAACAGGUGUGGCUUCAUUUCAAAUGAAACCAGAUGCUGAUUCUGAUACUGAAAAUACUGAGGAUAAAGAUGAUACAUUUUCUACAACCAUGAUCAUAUACACUAACAAAUUUGAAGGUUGUGAUGAGCAAACAAGAAUGGAAGAGACCAGAGAAGCUCUAGAGAGCACAGUCUUGUCUUACCCAGAGCCCAAGUAUUACAGCUUUAUGCCUUACAACAAAUCCAAGCCUCUGUACGGCACCCUAACGACCUCUGGGCUGCAGGGUCACACACCAUCAGGUCGCGACCUUUCAUCACAGGCCAUGUUCCGAUCUCCUCGGUUAACAGCCCAAACAAAUGGAGUGUUCGAUGGGAGCCUGUCCUCUCGUGUGAACUCCAUACCGGACCAUUGUCAUGGGAAGGUUGUGGACAGAAAAGGAAACAAAUCUGUUCAUUUCCAGGACAGUGACGGCACUAUCUACAAACCGCCACACACCUUGGCCUCUCCCCAAAUAACAGAGGAAUCGGCCGUGAGUAGAGAAUCAAGUCUUCAAGGCAUCACUCCAAAACUCCAUGUAAUCCAACAGGGUCAAGAAGAACAAAAGGAAGCAACUCCUGACACAGCAGUUGUCUCUGGAACAAAGGUUGAAAUAAUGAGUGAAGAAAAACCAUCUGUUGUUCCGGAAAAAACGAAAAAGAAAUCGCUUUUCUCAAGUCUGUCCUAUAUUUUACCCAGUGUUCCCUUUGCCCGUGGCAUUAUCUUGGAUACAUGGGAAGGAGAGGAGGUCACGUUUCGUGGUGAACUUGGAGACAUUCUCGAUGAUGAUAAUGAAGGGGCCAAUUCCGGAGCACCUUCAAAAGAGCAAGUAGCUUUUUGCUCCUUGACAAGUGUAUGCAUGUCACUAUUUAUCGAGCUGUGUAUGUAUAUCAUGCCUGGUGCCGCCUGUAUAAUCAGAUGCUACAUAAACUGUACUCCAGGACUCAUUAUUCUAUAUACAGACUCGUAUAACCAGCCAUUGUACUGCGCAUUGACUGUUUGUAUGGAAGUUAUUCUGCUGCAUAUGACACUCUCAUCUAAUUGUGCUUUAAAAUGUCUUUCCUAUGCGCAUGAAAUCUUGUCAGAAUGUGGAAUGGACAGAUCACUUUGACAGAUGAAUGCACACCUUGUGGUCAGUGACAAAGGACAUGUGCCACAUAUUAAACAUUUGUGCUCUAUUCCUAUGGCAAAUAUAACUGGAUAACUGUGGUACUAGUGUUGUUGUCCUGAUCUUAACAAACCAGGACACACAGAGUGGAAUACAGUUGAAGUGGAAUAGGACCUGUAAGUGUACAUGUGGUGAUGGUGGUUGUAUGGUACUGUAAUCAUACUUUAUAUCUGAGGUGGCUCUGGAGCUCGGGAUACACCUGUCAGCUUAGGAAGCAUGGCUUGUCAUCAUUAAUGUGUAAAGGAGCCCUGAUGAGUCGGUGACCAAUGGUCCACGAGGACAACCUGUAGGGGCUGUGGAAUCUGAUGGAGAGGCCAUCGAGCCUGUGAUGACCU
RNAcentral lists this unclassified non-coding RNA (7427 nucleotides) under Mizuhopecten yessoensis (Yesso scallop). RNAcentral describes it as "serine-rich adhesin for platelets-like, transcript variant X8". Lineage: Eukaryota; Metazoa; Mollusca; Bivalvia; Pectinida; Pectinidae. The record is from RNAcentral.